GUCAGGGCUGCUUCCGGCCGCAUCUUUAAAUUUGUUUUUCCCGGUGGGGCCUCGGGACUCCGGAGUAACGUCUUUCCCAGUGCCUUUCUUUACCUCUUCCAGGAGCGGAGUGAGGUGAAGACGAAUGGUCAGUGCCAACAAGGAUCACCAGGGAAUGAGGAGGAGGAAAAACACUGACUUAAUUGGGAUGCUAAGCACUGUGGCUGCACUUGUGCAGGGGUCUGCAGAUGGCCUUGCCACGAAACAAGAAUCCUCAGAAGCCCCCAGGAAGAUUGGGAACUACUGAGACAAUGCAGAUAGCUUUUGGACUUGAACUGGAACAUCAGCUCUCUUGGGUCUCCAGCCUGCUGGCCCACCCUGCAGAUUUUGGAUUUAUCAAUCUCCAUAAUCAUGUAAGUCAAUUCCUUAUAAUAGAUCUUUAUAUAUUCACAUUCUACUGGUUCUGUUUCUCUGAAGAACCCUGACUCAUACACAUACACAUACACAUGCACGUGUACACACACACACACACACACACACACACAUGAGUUUGCCCUGAGGCAGUAGUUUGAUGGGAUUUGGAGGGGAGGCAUAACUGCCUCUCCUUUCCUCCCUCCCUCCCUUGCUUCCAUUUCUCUGCCUCACAUCUUUCCACACAGUCCCUGAGGAGCCACGGAUGGAAAGGAGUGCAAGUAGGAACUCUACAUCCAAAUACCAAGAGCAGACAGGAGACCCUGCUGCUAACCUUGGGAGACCCCUCUGGAGGAACUUUGCCAUCAUUCCACACCUGGGGUUUCUGAAG
This 781-nucleotide long non-coding RNA is filed under the name Callithrix jacchus (white-tufted-ear marmoset). RNAcentral's name for it is "lncRNA (ENSCJAG00000086718.1)". Lineage: Eukaryota; Metazoa; Chordata; Mammalia; Primates; Cebidae. The record is from RNAcentral.